GGUUAAGCGACUAAGCGUACACGGUGGAUGCCCUGGCAGUCAGAGGCGAUGAAGGACGUGCUAAUCUGCGAAAAGCGUCGGUAAGGUGAUAUGAACCGUUAUAACCGGCGAUGUCCGAAUGGGGAAACCCAGUGUGAUUCGUCACACUAUCGUUAACUGAAUACAUAGGUUAACGAGGCGAACCGGGGGAACUGAAACAUCUAAGUACCCCGAGGAAAAGAAAUCAACCGAGAUUCCCCCAGUAGCGGCGAGCGAACGGGGAGCAGCCCAGAGUCUGAAUCAGCUUGUGUGUUAGUGGAACGGUCUGGAAAGUCCGACGGUACAGGGUGAUAGUCCCGUACACCAAAAUGCACAGGCUGUGAACUCGAAGAGUAGGGCGGGACACGUGGUAUCCUGUCUGAAUAUGGGGGGACCAUCCUCCAAGGCUAAAUACUCCUGACUGACCGAUAGUGAACCAGUACCGUGAGGGAAAGGCGAAAAGAACCCCGGCGAGGGGAGUGAAAAAGAACCUGAAACCGUGUACGUACAAGCAGUGGGAGCACCUUUAUGGUGUGACUGCGUACCUUUUGUAUAAUGGGUCAGCGACUUAUAUUCUGUAGCAAGGUUAACCGUAUAGGGGAGCCGCAGGGAAACCGAGUCUUAACUGGGCGUUAAGUUGCAGGGUAUAGACCCGAAACCCGGUGAUCUAGCCAUGGGCAGGUUGAAGGUUGGGUAACACUAACUGGAGGACCGAACCGACUAAUGUUGAAAAAUUAGCGGAUGACUUGUGGCUGGGGGUGAAAGGCCAAUCAAACCGGGAGAUAGCUGGUUCUCCCCGAAAGCUAUUUAGGUAGCGCCUCGUGAACUCAUCUUCGGGGGUAGAGCACUGUUUCGGCUAGGGGGUCAUCCCGACUUACCAACCCGAUGCAAACUACGAAUACCGAAGAAUGUUAUCACGGGAGACACACGGCGGGUGCUAACGUCCGUCGUGAAGAGGGAAACAACCCAGACCGCCAGCUAAGGUCCCAAAGUCAUGGUUAAGUGGGAAACGAUGUGGGAAGGCACAGACAGCCAGGAUGUUGGCUUAGAAGCAGCCAUCAUUUAAAGAAAGCGUAAUAGCUCACUGGUCGAGUCGGCCUGCGCGGAAGAUGUAACGGGGCUAAACCAUGCACCGAAGCUGCGGCAGCGACACUAUGUGUUGUUGGGUAGGGGAGCGUUCUGUAAGCCUGCGAAGGUGACCUGUGAGGGUUGCUGGAGGUAUCAGAAGUGCGAAUGCUGACAUAAGUAACGAUAAAGCGGGUGAAAAGCCCGCUCGCCGGAAGACCAAGGGUUCCUGUCCAACGUUAAUCGGGGCAGGGUGAGUCGACCCCUAAGGCGAGGCCGAAAGGCGUAGUCGAUGGGAAACAGGUUAAUAUUCCUGUACUUGGUGUUACUGCGAAGGGGGGACGGAGAAGGCUAUGUUAGCCGGGCGACGGUUGUCCCGGUUUAAGCAUGUAGGCUGGUUAUCCAGGCAAAUCCGGAUAAUCAAGGCUGAGGUGUGAUGACGAGGCACUACGGUGCUGAAGUAACAAAUGCCCUGCUUCCAGGAAAAGCCUCUAAGCAUCAGGUAACAUCAAAUCGUACCCCAAACCGACACAGGUGGUCAGGUAGAGAAUACCAAGGCGCUUGAGAGAACUCGGGUGAAGGAACUAGGCAAAAUGGUGCCGUAACUUCGGGAGAAGGCACGCUGGUGUGUAGGUGAAGUCCCUGCGGAUGGAGCUGAGACCAGUCGAAGAUACCAGCUGGCUGCAACUGUUUAUUAAAAACACAGCACUGUGCAAACACGAAAGUGGACGUAUACGGUGUGACGCCUGCCCGGUGCCGGAAGGUUAAUUGAUGGGGUUAUCCGUAAGGAGAAGCUCUUGAUCGAAGCCCCGGUAAACGGCGGCCGUAACUAUAACGGUCCUAAGGUAGCGAAAUUCCUUGUCGGGUAAGUUCCGACCUGCACGAAUGGCGUAAUGAUGGCCAGGCUGUCUCCACCCGAGACUCAGUGAAAUUGAACUCGCUGUGAAGAUGCAGUGUACCCGCGGCAAGACGGAAAGACCCCGUGAACCUUUACUAUAGCUUGACACUGAACAUUGAGCCUUGAUGUGUAGGAUAGGUGGGAGGCUUUGAAGCGUGGACGCCAGUCUGCGUGGAGCCAACCUUGAAAUACCACCCUUUAAUGUUUGAUGUUCUAACGUUGGCCCCUUAUCGGGGUUGCGGACAGUGUCUGGUGGGUAGUUUGACUGGGGCGGUCUCCUCCCAAAGCGUAACGGAGGAGCACGAAGGUUAGCUAAUCCUGGUCGGACAUCAGGAGGUUAGUGCAAUGGCAUAAGCUAGCUUGACUGCGAGCGUGACGGCGCGAGCAGGUGCGAAAGCAGGUCAUAGUGAUCCGGUGGUUCUGAAUGGAAGGGCCAUCGCUCAACGGAUAAAAGGUACUCCGGGGAUAACAGGCUGAUACCGCCCAAGAGUUCAUAUCGACGGCGGUGUUUGGCACCUCGAUGUCGGCUCAUCACAUCCUGGGGCUGAAGUAGGUCCCAAGGGUAUGGCUGUUCGCCAUUUAAAGUGGUACGCGAGCUGGGUUUAGAACGUCGUGAGACAGUUCGGUCCCUAUCUGCCGUGGGCGCUGGAGAAUUGAGGGGGGCUGCUCCUAGUACGAGAGGACCGGAGUGGACGCAUCACUGGUGUUCGGGUUGUCAUGCCAAUGGCACUGCCCGGUAGCUAAAUGCGGAAGAGAUAAGUGCUGAAAGCAUCUAAGCACGAAACUUGCCCCGAGAUGAGUUCUCCCUGAGACUUUAAGUCUCCUGAAGGAACGUUGAAGACGACGACGUUGAUAGGCCGGGUGUGUAAGCGCAGCGAUGCGUUGAGCUAACCGGUACUAAUGAACCGUGAGGCUUAACCUU
RNAcentral lists this ribosomal RNA (2903 nucleotides) under Klebsiella quasipneumoniae. RNAcentral describes it as "23S ribosomal RNA". It matches the Rfam family "Bacterial large subunit ribosomal RNA". Lineage: Bacteria; Pseudomonadati; Pseudomonadota; Gammaproteobacteria; Enterobacterales; Enterobacteriaceae. The record is from RNAcentral.